This 1294-nucleotide ribosomal RNA is filed under the name uncultured bacterium. Its description in RNAcentral is "bacterial SSU rRNA". It matches the Rfam family "Bacterial small subunit ribosomal RNA", at positions 88 to 1399 of the family's 1533-position model. The record is from RNAcentral.
UGUUUUAGCGGCGGACGGGUGAGUAACGCGUGAGCAACCUUUCUCUCAGUGGGGAAUAACACAGGGAAACUUGUACUAAUACCGCAUGAGACCACGACCUGGCAUCAGGAUGGGGUCAAAGAUUAAUCGCUGAGAGGUGGGCUCGCGUCUGAUUAGAUAGUUGGUGGGGUAACGGCCUACCAAGUCGACGAUCAGUAGCCGACCUGAGAGGGUGAUCGGCCACAUUGGGACUGAGACACGGCCCAAACUCCUACGGGAGGCAGCAGUGGGGAAUAUUGGGCAAUGGGGGAAACCCUGACCCAGCAACGCCGCGUGGAGGAAGAAGGUUUUCGGAUCGUAAACUCCUGUCCUCGGGGAAGAGCAGAAGACGGUACCUGAGGAGGAAGCCCCGGCUAACUACGUGCCAGCAGCCGCGGUAAUACGUAGGGGGCAAGCGUUGCCCGGAUUUACUGGGUGUAAAGGGCGUGUAGGCGGAGCUGCAAGUCAGAUGUGAAAUCCCGGGGCUCAACCCCGGAACUGCAUUUGAAACUGUAGCCCUUGAGUAUCGGAGAGGCAAGCGGAAUUCCUAGUGUAGCGGUGAAAUGCGUAGAUAUUAGGAGGAACACCAGUGGCGAAGGCGGCUUGCUGGACGACAACUGACGCUGAGGCGCGAAAGCGUGGGGAGCAAACAGGAUUAGAUACCCUGGUAGUCCACGCUGUAAACGAUGAAUACUAGGUGUGGGAGGACUGACCCCUUCCGUGCCGCAGUUAACACAAUAAGUAUUCCACCUGGGGAGUACGACCGCAAGGUUGAAACUCAAAGGAAUUGACGGGGGCCCGCACAAGCAGCGGAGCAUGUGGUUUAAUUCGACGCAACGCGAAGAACCUUACCAGGUCUUGACAUCCAGUAAAACUUGUAGAGAUACAUCGCGUCUUCGGACGUACUGAGACAGGUGGUGCAUGGUUGUCGUCAGCUCGUGUCGUGAGAUGUUGGGUUAAGUCCCGCAACGAGCGCAACCCUUACUUUUAGUUACUAACAGGUAAUGCUGAGGACUCUAGAAGGACUGCCGGGGACAACUCGGAGGAAGGUGGGGACGACGUCAAAUCAUCAUGCCCCUUAUGACCUGGGCUACACACGUGCUACAAUGGCCACCACAGAGAGAAGCGAGCCUGUAAGGGUAAGCGGAACUCAAAAAAGUGGUCCCAGUUCGGAUUGUGGGCUGCAACCCGCCCACAUGAAGUCGGAGUUGCUAGUAAUCGCGGAUCAGCAUGCCGCGGUGAAUACGUUCCCGGGCCUUGUACUCACCGCCCGUCA